GUUGCUACGUGUUAGAAAAUUGCUUGCUGGGUUAGAGAGUCACCCACAACUCCUAACACGAGACACAAGAGAGAGAGUAAAAAAAAUCCUACAGAAACUUAAUCUUCUUUUUCAACAACUCACAAAAUCAACUUACACUUCAGCAAAGCUUAAACCUAUAAGAACUACAAUGACUCACCCACAAUAAAUUGCACUCAGCUCUUAAGACGGCGAGAGAAUCUAACCCAAAAAAAGAAAAGAGCAAAAAGGCCGCAAACACUCGCCCUGAGGCUUAUAUACCCUAGCAUACCCCGCGCGUCGCGACACAACUA
This 311-nucleotide unclassified non-coding RNA is filed under the name Melitaea cinxia (Glanville fritillary). Its description in RNAcentral is "misc RNA ENSMCXG00005020772.1". The record is from RNAcentral. Lineage: Eukaryota; Metazoa; Arthropoda; Insecta; Lepidoptera; Nymphalidae.